This 451-nucleotide ribosomal RNA is filed under the name uncultured bacterium. RNAcentral's name for it is "partial 16S ribosomal RNA". It matches the Rfam family "Bacterial small subunit ribosomal RNA", at positions 30 to 507 of the family's 1533-position model. The record is from RNAcentral.
AGCGAACGCUGGCGGCAUGCCUAACACAUGCAAGUCGCACGGGGGAGCUUCGGCCUCCCAGUGGCUGACGGGUGAGGAACGCGUAGGGACCUGUCGAGGGGUUGUGGAUAACCGCGGGAAACUGCGUCUAAUACCGCAUGACGCCGCGGCAUGACAGCCGGGGCCAAAGGCGAAAGCCGCCCGCCGAGGGACCUCCUUCCUAUUAGAUGGUUGGAGGUGUAGCGGCCCACAAAGGCGUCGAUCGGUAGCUGGUCUGGGAGGGUGAUCAGCCACACCGGGACUGAGACACGGCGCGGACUCCUGCGGGUGGCAGCAGUGGGGAAUAUUGGACGAUGGGCGAAAGCCUGAUCCAGUAAUGCCGCGUGGGUGAAGAAGGUCAUCGGAUUGUAAAGCACUUUCGGCGGGGACGAUAGUGACGGUAACCGCAGAAGAAGCCACGGCUAACUUCGUG